This 284-nucleotide ribosomal RNA is filed under the name uncultured bacterium. RNAcentral's name for it is "partial 16S ribosomal RNA". It matches the Rfam family "Bacterial small subunit ribosomal RNA", at positions 773 to 1060 of the family's 1533-position model. The record is from RNAcentral.
GUGGAUUAGAUAGCCGGGUAGUCCACGCCGUAAACGAUGAUCACUCGCUGUUAGCGAUACACAGUUAGCGGCUAAGCAAAAGCAUUAAGUGAUCCACCUGGGGAGUACGGCCGCAAGGCUGAAACUCAAAGGAAUUGACGGGGGCCCGCACAAGCGGAGGAACAUGUGGUUUAAUUCGAUGAUACGCGAGGAACCUUACCUGGGCUUAAAUGUAGAGUGCAUGAGGUGGAAACACUUCUUCCCUUCGGGGCUCUUUGCAAGGUGCUGCACGGUUGUCGACAACU